RNAcentral lists this non-coding RNA (24 nucleotides) under Cricetulus griseus (Chinese hamster). Lineage: Eukaryota; Metazoa; Chordata; Mammalia; Rodentia; Cricetidae. The record is from RNAcentral.
UAGUCUGAAAGCUGCAGGUAGCCU